AACACGUGGGUCAUCUACCUUGAGGUGAGGAAUACCGGCGAGAAAUCGCCGACAAUACCGCAUGCCUUUCUUGCAAGAGAAAGAAAGCUUCUUCGGAGGCGCCACAAGAUGAGCCUGCGGCCGAUUAGCUAGUUGGGGGGGUAAGAGCCUCCCAAGGCGACGAUCGGUAGCUGGUCUGAGAGGACGAUCAGCCACACUGGGAUUGAGAACGGCCCAG
Molecule: ribosomal RNA, 217 nt
Filed under: uncultured bacterium
Lineage: Bacteria
Description: partial 16S ribosomal RNA
Rfam family: Bacterial small subunit ribosomal RNA
Source: RNAcentral